UGAGGGAGAGGGGAUGGCGGCUCCAUGUGUGUGAGGGACUAGGAUGGCUGGGAAGACCCCGUGGACCGAUCAGAAAAGCCCCUCCCCCGGGAGGGCCCAGGAAUUAUGGCGAGGCUCCUGGGGUGUGCCGUGGCCGUGGCCCUCAUCCUCAGUGUGGCUUCCACUGUCUUUCUGUAUCACUGGCAGCAGAAGAACCGGCUGGAGAUGGAUGGGGGCGGAUUCUUGGCCUAGAGCUGGAGAAGCAGCAGCUACAGCAGGAAGAGGAUGAACUGCAGAAGCUGCCCCCACAGCCCCCCUACUACGAUCUGGGGGCCUCCCCCUCCUACCACCCCUUGGCCUUUGUCUCCACAGCCUCACCACGCUCCCUCUCGGCUGGAAGGGCCAAAGAGAAUGCAUCUCAAGAUGCCAAACCUUGCCCCUGGGAGGCAGCGUUCCUAUCCCGGGUGCUCAGCCCAGAGGACCAACCCGGCCCCCACCUUCCAAUUCCAUGCAGGGGCCUUCCCUCCCCAGGCUCUGCUCAUGGUGGAUUGACAGAAGGCUCAAAUGAGUUGGAGGCUUCAGGACUCAAGACCACUUGGGAGGAAGAGCAGACAGGUGCCGGCAGUCUCGGAGGACUCCACUCAGCUGUGUCCCUCAGACCAGGGGUUCACUGUGGCGUCAGCAUGUCCAUCCCAGUCCCACACUGGGAAAUUCCAUGUCCCCCAGCAGUGAAUUUGCCCUGUUCUCUGGGGUCCUUGCCAGGCUGUUGAAUCCCACAUCCUGAGAAAGUGCCCCCAGGUCAGUGUGGUCUUGCUUAUUCCCCCAAAUCCCACCCACAAAUGCCCGCCCAGCUUCUGCUAGAAUUCCUAGAGAAUUCCUGCCACUCCUUGCUCCUUGGACGUACUCUCUCCUCCCUCAGCAGGUCCAGCUGGCCCCAGCUGGGUCAUGCUGGGCUUUAAACUUAGCUAUCAGCCUGGUAGCCAGGAAGGCGGGUGGGGGCAGCUCUCGAAGAGUGUGCCUCUCGCCUUGUAGGGUGAGCCUGGGAUGAUGGUAGCUCUUGCUGGCUUAGGCCAGGCACCUCCGUGUGCUCUGAGGGACAUAUCCUCAAGAGCCUUUUUCGUUUGUUUGUUUUGUGUUGGGUUUUUUUUUUUUUAAAUAAGUUUAUUUAUAUAUUUCUUUGGCUGUGCUAGGUCUUCGCCGCUGCACGUGGGCUCUUCUCUAGUGGCGAGGUGGAGGCUUUCAGGGGCUUCUCUUGUUGCAGAGUAACAGGCUCUACAGGCGUGGGCUCAGUAGCUGCAGUUCCCAGGCUCCCUAGUCGCAGCACACAGCCUCAGUUGCUUCACAGCACGUGGGAUCCUCCCAGAUCACACGUGUCUCCUGCUCUGGUGGGCGGAUUCUUUACCACUGAGCCACCAGGGAAGUCCAGAGACCUUGUUUGGCCAAAAAUUUUACUUUCGUUUUAGGUUCGAAGGAUUCAUUAACAACAGAAACCUCUCAUUACACACACAAUAAACAAUUUCAAUUUUAAAUAGAGGAUUUUUAAACUUCAUUUCAAUAUACAUCAUUAAAAGCAAAGAAAUAGAAACAACAGAGAGAAGGAACGGCACAUACUUCACCAAAUUGGGCUGACAACCCACAUCCAGACUUGAACAGCGCUGGGAAGUCCCAUGUAACAGCAAUCUGGAGUCCCGACUGGCAAAAGGCCCCAGGCAGCGUGUUCACCCCAUGGGUGAGACUUCAAAUUGCAGCUUUGGGGGCCACCACUUAUAAUCUCAGGCCACAAACGGACAUCAGCAUCAGUUUGCACACAAAAAUGCAGUUCUGGUUUUCCAUUAACUUUUAGAAUGCUAUUGGUUUUCACCUUGUGAGUCACAGGAUUUUCCAGACCCCAGGGGGCUGGCCAGGCCUACAGGGGCUCAGCAAAUUCCAAGACCCUCUCC
Molecule: long non-coding RNA, 1919 nt
Filed under: Bos grunniens (domestic yak)
Lineage: Eukaryota; Metazoa; Chordata; Mammalia; Artiodactyla; Bovidae
Description: lncRNA (ENSBGRG00000014036.1)
Source: RNAcentral